GCCUGGGUGGCUCAAUCGGUUGAGCGUCUGACUUCAGCUUAGGUCACGAACUUGCGGUUUGUGAGUUUGAGCCCCACAUCAGGCU
Molecule: transfer RNA, 85 nt
Filed under: Felis catus (domestic cat)
Lineage: Eukaryota; Metazoa; Chordata; Mammalia; Carnivora; Felidae
Rfam family: tRNA
About the family: Transfer RNA (tRNA) molecules are approximately 80 nucleotides in length. Their secondary structure includes four short double-helical elements and three loops (D, anti-codon, and T loops).
Source: Rfam by way of RNAcentral